RNAcentral lists this ribosomal RNA (451 nucleotides) under uncultured bacterium. RNAcentral describes it as "partial 16S ribosomal RNA". It matches the Rfam family "Bacterial small subunit ribosomal RNA", at positions 354 to 796 of the family's 1533-position model. The record is from RNAcentral.
GUGGGGAAUAUUGGACAAUGGGGGGAACCCUGAUCCAGCCAUGCCGCGUGUGUGAAGAAGGCCUUUUGGUUGUAAAGCACUUUAAGCGAGGAGGAGGCUACCGAGAUUAAUACUCUUGGAUAGUGGACGUUACUCGCAGAAUAAGCACCGGCUAACUCUGUGCCAGCAGCCACGGUAAUACAGAGGGUGCAAGCGUUAAUCGGAUUUACUGGGCGUAAAGCGCGCGUAGGUGGCCAAUUAAGUCAAAUGUGAAAUCCCCGAGCUUAACUUGGGAAUUGCAUUCGAUACUGGUUGGCUAGAGUAUGGGAGAGGAUGGUAGAAUUCCAGGUGUAGCGGUGAAAUGCGUAGAGAUCUGGAGGAAUACCGAUGGCGAAGGCAGCCAUCUGGCCUAAUACUGACACUGAGGUGCGAAAGCAUGGGGAGCAAACAGGAUUAGAAACCCGUGUAGUCC